Non-coding RNA from Colossoma macropomum (tambaqui), 804 nucleotides. The record is from the annotation of a RefSeq genome assembly. NCBI's taxonomy places the organism in Eukaryota, Metazoa, Chordata, Actinopteri, Characiformes, Serrasalmidae.
UACGACUCAGAAUGGCACAUUUGUAUUUGAUUCUCUGCAUCCUGACACUACAGUGGGUGUCCACUAUAUGUGUGCAGCUCAUACAGGUUCACCAGACACCAAAGGAGCUGAUUCUUUCCCCUGGAUCAUCUCUGAAGGUCUCCUGCUCUGUAAAUGGUACUGAUUAUCCAAAUCUGUACUGGUACCAGUGGACUCCAGCAGCAGGCUUCACACUGGUGUUUACCUCUCUGAGUGUGGGGUCAGUGGAUCCAUCUAGAAAAGGCCAGUUUGAGUCACAAAGACUUGAAAAGCUUCAGAUAGUUCUGGAGUCUGAUGGAGUGAGUGAGAAUGACUCUGCUGUGUGGUACUGUGCAGCCAGUCUACACUGUAUUCCAAAGUAAUCAGUGAGCUGUACAAAAACCACACCAGACUGUUAGAGCUUAGGCCUCUUCUUAAUCAGACAGUUAGGAGUCAGUUUUCAUUACUGUUUGAGAUCACAUGACUAAUUGAGACUACAUGUGAUCUAUGAGGUUGUUUUUACUGACAGGAAUCUGUCAAAGUAGGCUCAGUUCUCAGGUUGUCUGAUUCAACAGGAAGCAAGUAAGCACUAAAAAUGAAAUUCUCAUUUUGAGCAGAGAUGAUGGCAUUGGCCUUCUCACAGCUUGCAUUUGUUCCUACUUGUUUUUUCCAAGUUUACUGACAUUUGACUUUGUGCUAUUAUUCAUUACUUGACACUUAAGCAUUUUUUUUUCUGCCAAACAUCAGACGUAGUGACCUUCACAACUGUUUGACAUUUCAGUCUUUAAAAAACUGAAGAAAUACUGA